UACGUAGGGUGCAAGCGUUAAUCGGAAUUACUGGGCGUAAAGCGUGCGCAGGCGGCUUUGCAAGACAGAUGUGAAAUCCCCGGGCUUAACCUGGGAACUGCAUUUGUGACUGCAUGGCUGGAGUGCGGCAGAGGGGGAUGGAAUUCCGCGUGUAGCAGUGAAAUGCGUAGAUAUCGUAAGGAAGACCAGUGGCGAAGGCGAGUCUCUGGACAGUUACUGACGCUGAGGCACGAAGGCCAGGGGAGCAAACGGG
Molecule: ribosomal RNA, 253 nt
Filed under: uncultured bacterium
Lineage: Bacteria
Description: partial 16S ribosomal RNA
Rfam family: Bacterial small subunit ribosomal RNA
Source: RNAcentral